AUGUUUUACUGCAGCAGCGGCGGCUCGGAGCCGCUCAGCGGGUCUAAAACUGAUAUUGUGAGAGGAAUCAUCACCGAGAAGCUGACCACGGCCGCGCGGGAGAUCUUCGCGGUGGUGGAGAAGAUCGUAACCGACUACGAGGCGGAGGCUUCGGGCUUCAGGCAGCAGGUGGACCGCCAGAGGAGGCAGCUGGAGCUCCUGCAGCCUCGGGUCAAACUCCUCAGAGAAGAGGAGGUCCCAGAUCAGCGCAGCCAGGUGGUCGUUAGUGAGGAGCAGCAGACAGAUGUAGAAAAACCUGGACUCCUGGACUUUCUCUGGUACAACGACGAUGAGGAGGAAGAGGAGGACGCUGCUGAUCAGGAUCAAAAGGAACAGCUGUUGGCUCAGCCCACUUCCAUCUCCAGAGGAAAACAAGAUCACCUGAAGGAUCCAGAUUACGAAAUCCCGCCAAGAUUAUCGUCCAGACCUCCAUCUGAGAGGACCUGGCCCGGCAGACCUCGGCUCAGUGACACACAGAACCACCUGGACCUGCGGGUGCGGCUGCUGGAGGACUCUCACACCCAGGUGCUCUCCAACAUCGUGUUUCGGACCACUCCGGUCCGGGACCUGAAGUGUCCCCGUGGUCUACAGGAGUCAGAGUUUCUGGACCUCCUCAGGUCCUCCUUCCCUCAGCUGGCUGAUGGAGAACCUUUUGAUCUCUUCACCACCGACCUCAGCAGGAAGCUGCUGCCUCUGAGGGUCAAAGCUCUGACCCCGGAGGAGAUCUACUCCACCAUCAGGUCUACAGGGAAAAUGUCCAUCUACGUUCGUCUGAAGUCCUCAGGGGGCAGCAGAAGUGAAGAUCUGCAUCCUCCUGAGAACCCUGAUGAUGAACCCAGAUCCAGUUGUGCAUCAGCAUCUUCUGGUCCCACCAAAGGGAUUAUGAGGUUGGUGUCUGCUGGCAAGAGGAGACGUGGCAGACCUCGCCUUGGUGAAGAACCUUCUCACCACCUUCUCAGGCUCUGCUUGUUGGACAAUCCCAACUCGAUCAAGCUCCCUAAUCCCGAGUUGCAGAAAUCUUCGGUGCUGGACCUGAAAUGCCCCCGUGGUCUUCAGGAGGAGGAGUUUGUGCAUCUGCUGAAGUCCACCUUCCCUCAGCUUGUUGGAGAUGACAGAAGAUUCAGCAUCUAUAAGUCGGACCGAAACAAAAAGCUCCAGAAGGUCAGAGUGAAGAGCCUAACGCCAGAGGAGAUCUACAAGAACAUGAAGUCCACAGGGAUCAGGAAGAACUUCAUCUACAUCAAAGUGAAGGUAGAAUAG
Molecule: long non-coding RNA, 1299 nt
Filed under: Nothobranchius furzeri (turquoise killifish)
Lineage: Eukaryota; Metazoa; Chordata; Actinopteri; Cyprinodontiformes; Nothobranchiidae
Description: lncRNA (ENSNFUG00015009384.1)
Source: RNAcentral